CAGAUCCCACUGAAUAAAUUUUUGGGGUCACAGGAGCACUAAAGCCUACCCGACAACUGUUGGUCAAAGAUCCCGCUGAAUCCAGUUUGGGGCAGGAUGAUGCUACGACCUACAAAACAACUGUUGGCCGAAGAUCCUGCUAAAUCGAUUUCGGGGCAACAGGGACACUAGAGCCUGGCCAACAACUAUUCGGCAAAGGUAGGGUACACCUCUGAUUUCAAUGAUCGUUAUUUGUCGCCAAUGCAAAUAGUACACUGUCACUUAAAGUACAGCAAUCCAUCUUGUUUUAGAGUUUGCUGAAUCAAUUUUGGGGCCACAGGGACGCUAGAGCCUACCCAACCACUGUUGGUCAACGGUAGGGUAUACCCUGGACAUAUCGUUUGUCGCCAAUGCAAAUAAGAAAUUGUAUCUGGAGGUACAACCUAAAAACUUUCAAGUACUAAUUAGGGAGCCAUGAAGAUUUAAAAAAAAACCUUAACUUGCAAAAAAGCCAUGCAUUUUACAAGUGUUAGUGCACAGAAACAUAAUUGAAAUCAUGCUCUUUACCCGGUGUACAAGAACUGAGCUUCAGUGGAGCCACCCAAUGUCAACGUUAUGUUUGGCUGGAGAACCUGGUAAUAUAACUGAAUACGUUGAUAAUUCUGGCACUUAAGGAGAGUUAUAGGAGCAAAAAAGUUAGCUGAAAUGUAAUCCUAUAGUAAGUCUUUGGAGCCUGUGGGACCAUAUUACCUGUGACGAAGGAAAAGUAGAAGGCAAUAACUUUCCUGGGGCAUUUAAAAGCCAAUACAUCAUGGGGUUGUCUGCCUGUACUGGUUCCAAAACUAACCUUUUGGUACAUGAGCUGUAAUGGAAGCCACUUUUAACUAAAACACACACACACACACACACGGAGAGUAAAUGGAAGUGGAUAAAUCAGGGGGUGCUCUCUGUCAGGCCUGUCCUUCAAAGGACGCCUGGUGACACCCAUCUGUGUUCCCAGCUUUUAGCGCGCCUUCACCUUAAGCUAUUUAGAUGUAUUAAAAAGUAUCUCACGACUGUUUGACUCUGUGUCAACACUCUUCAGAGGCGCUCGGACUAUUACGUUACUGUUCCAGGUUUUAAUCAUUUUUGGCCGCCUUUCACUUCCUGCCUUGAAAAGUGAAACAGCUUCAGGAAUGCCAUUCUUUGAAAAGAAAACAGAGAGGAUCCACAGAGGAAGUCCUCCCACAGCGCACGCACACACACACACAUACACACACACACACACCUCUGCUCCACACGUUCUCACACCCACAUGUUCAACUCUCCCACACUGUCAAACAGGCACAUGUGCACGACACGACCAGACUCCCCUCUCGCUCACACACCGGUUGGCGCUCUCCUGCGCACACAAACGCACGGCAGGGCUUGCUGGGAAACAUCAGACACCCGGGGAGGAAGGAGGACAGGCUUUUCCCACAUUUAAACUCCACAGAUACUUCAGAUGUCAGGCUAUAAAUAGCGCCAACGUUAACCAAACCAGGACUGAAUCAACCGCAGGGGUGACUGCUGUGACCCGCUAAACUUUGGCCCAGCCUGUUCGGCCAGAAUCUUCAGAAAAACGCUACGUUUAGCAUCAACUUCUUGCUUUUUGAACCCUGUAUUUUGAUAGUUUUCCUGGUAUUUCAUUUUUUUUAUGUUUAAAACUCUGUUUUCUACUUUUACUUUCUCCUAACAGUAAUCCUCAUGGCCACAGUUUUUAAUAACCAAGUUUGUUCCCUAUUUUUGGCUAAUACAUGUUUUUUUUUUUUUUUUUUUGAGGCAAAAACAUAAAAUCUAUUAUAUAAUUUUGAAACUGCCUUUAAAAACAGACAAAAUCCAACUCUGUCAUCUCACGACUGACGGAUUUAUUGUGAAAAGCUAUUUUCAGAAGUCUCGUUUUGGCAAAACCACAGGAUGAAUAAGGAGAUAUCUAGCCUUUAAGCUAAUCUUUGAUAUCUUAACCCCCAACAAACUGUGUGACAAUAAUCCAGGACUCCCUGGAUUAUUAAAGAGGAUUUUAAUCUCAGUGGGACUUUCCUGGUUAAACAAAGGUUAAAAAAAUAAAAAUGAGAAACCAAAACUCAUUUUGUUUUACAUUUGGGUGACUCUGCCAAAUAGAAACGAAAAAACUCCUAAAAGAAAAUUUGUCGCAUCAUUUGGUUGACUCCGGUUCCUCCACGAGUGUAAAAUGAUCCCAAACUUCUCCAGCUUAAUGAUCAAAUGUGUCUUUGUCUCUACUUUAAAACCGCUGAAGACUUUUUAACCCUAUAGGGUCCAGAUGACCCCACCCUUGCAUUGACGUGUUCCCCCUACCAUGACAAAGGUGGAUAAAGGUGGAAAGA
Molecule: long non-coding RNA, 2342 nt
Organism: Oryzias latipes (Japanese medaka)
Lineage: Eukaryota; Metazoa; Chordata; Actinopteri; Beloniformes; Adrianichthyidae
Source: RefSeq, a predicted model, not a curated record